AAUUUUAGAGCUCAUAAUAUAUAGUCUUUCUUACUGUAUUAUUGAUUGUUCCUAGCGUAAGUGGUAAAAGACUUGGUGGUUGGUAUCCGAGUCCCAAGUUUGAAUCCUAGUUGAUUCACAUUUUCAGCUAAAUUUAUUUCUAAAAAAGAUAAAAGAACCGGUAGCAAUGUAGCAUACUACCUUUCUCAACUUAAAAAAAAAAAAGAAAUGGGUCUUUUCUUAACUUAAAUUUUGUAACGCCCCACUUUUCAUAGGGUCAUCCAUUUUAUAAUAAUUCUAACUCUAGCACGUUUAAUUUUCUUAAACUCUUAAGCCGAACUAUCGUUCAAAAUACUAUAGUCGGGUUAAAAAAUUUUAGCCCUAUUAUAUCUUAUAUAUAGCCGAACUAUCGUUCAAAAUACUAUAGUCGGGUUAAAAAAUUUUAGCCCUAUUAUAUCUUAUAUAUAGGACUAUUCCAAACCUUAUAUAGGGUGUCACAUUUCUCUCCCACGCUCAUAAGCACCAAACAAUGUGAGAUUCGUCUCGCUAGUUAGUCUUAGCAAAUCUUGUGGAAAGCCGCACUCUACCGCUCCCAAGUUUAGUCGAGACUAAUCUUACACUUCCGACUUGUGAUUAGCUCUGAUACCAACUGCAAUACCCUCCUUCCUAGAGAGUCACACACAUUCUAUAACUACUCUAACUCUCUCAUGCUUAAUUCUUUGCUUAAUUCUUUUUAGCUCUUGGG
Molecule: long non-coding RNA, 724 nt
Filed under: Ananas comosus (pineapple)
Lineage: Eukaryota; Viridiplantae; Streptophyta; Magnoliopsida; Poales; Bromeliaceae
Description: long non-coding RNA (ACOM_LNC010803)
Source: RNAcentral